Molecule: ribosomal RNA, 164 nt
Filed under: Coccinella undecimpunctata (eleven-spotted ladybird)
Lineage: Eukaryota; Metazoa; Arthropoda; Insecta; Coleoptera; Coccinellidae
Description: partial 12S ribosomal RNA
Source: RNAcentral
AAGUUCUUUAAAGCUAAAUAAUUUGGCGGUAUUUUAAACUUUUCAGAGGAACCUGUUCUAUAAUCGAUAAUCCACGAUAGAAUUAACUUUAAUUAGAAAUUUUUAUAUCGUCGUUGUUAAAGAAUUUAAUAUUUAAAAUUUUUAUUAAAAAAUAAAUCAGAUCA